ACGCUCGACACCUACGUGAGGCAGCAGUGGGGAAUAUUGCACAAUGGGGGAAACCCUGAUGCAGCGACGCCGCGUGGAGGAAGAAGGUCUUCGGAUUGUAAACUCCUGUUGUUGGGGAAAAAGAGGAUGGUACCCAACAAGGAAGUGACGGCUAACUACGUGCCCGCAGCCGCGGUAAUCUGAGCGGGCUGGCAAGGC
Molecule: ribosomal RNA, 198 nt
Filed under: uncultured bacterium
Lineage: Bacteria
Description: partial 16S ribosomal RNA
Rfam family: Bacterial small subunit ribosomal RNA
Source: RNAcentral